ACAAUGGAGAGUUUGAUCCUGGCUCAGGAUGAACGCUAGCUACAGGCUUAACACAUGCAAGUCGAGGGGUAACAUGAAGAAAGCUUGCUUUCUUUGAUGACGACCGGCGCACGGGUGAGUAUCGCGUAUCCAACCUGCCCAUAAGUAGGGAAUAGCCUUGCGAAAGUAAGAUUAAUGCCCUAUGGUUUCCAUUAAAGACAUCUGAGAUGGAAUAAAGAUUUAUCGCUUAUGGAUGGGGAUGCGUCUGAUUAGGUAGUAGGCGGGGUAACGGCCCACCUAGCCGACGAUCAGUAGGGGUUCUGAGAGGAAGGUCCCCCACAUUGGAACUGAGACACGGUCCAAACUCCUACGGGAGGCAGCAGUGAGGAAUAUUGGUCAAUGGACGGAAGUCUGAACCAGCCAAGUAGCGUGCAGGAUGACGGCCCUAUGGGUUGUAAACUGCUUUUUUAGGGGAAUAAAGUUAGCCACGUGUGGUUAUUUGCAUGUACCCUACGAAUAAGGACCGGCUAAUUCCGUGCCAGCAGCC
This is a ribosomal RNA of 526 nucleotides. It matches the Rfam family "Bacterial small subunit ribosomal RNA", at positions 1 to 516 of the family's 1533-position model. The record is from Rfam.